RNAcentral lists this ribosomal RNA (370 nucleotides) under uncultured organism. RNAcentral describes it as "bacterial SSU rRNA". It matches the Rfam family "Bacterial small subunit ribosomal RNA", at positions 526 to 896 of the family's 1533-position model. The record is from RNAcentral.
CGUAGGGUGCGAGCGUUAAUCGGAAUUACUGGGCGUAAAGUGUGCGCAGGCGGCGCCGCAAGUCGAGUGUGAAAGCCCCGAGCUUAACUUGGGAAUUGCGCUCGAAACUAUGGUGCUGGAGUGUGGCAGAGGAAGGUGGAAUUCCACGUGUAGCGGUGAAAUGCGUAGAGAUGUGGAGGAACACCGAUGGCGAAGGCAGCCUUCUGGGCCAACACUGACGCUCAUGCACGAAAGCGUGGGGAGCAAACAGGAUUAGAUACCCUGGUAGUCCACGCCCUAAACGAUGAUGACUAGUUGUUGGAGAGUUAAAUCCUUUAGUAACGCAGCUAACGCGUGAAGUCAUCCGCCUGGGGAUACGGUCGCAAGAUUA